UGUGCACAUAUGAAAUUGGAAUAAAAUGCAAACGCUAGUUAGCUCUCAAGUUGGCUAACGCGUUACAUAGCCUGUCUAAAGUAACGUUCAAAACACCACCAUUCAAUCUGGAGUUGUAGGUAGUGUACAAACAGAGAAUAUUAGAGAACGUAGCUAGCAUUAUUAGCAAUAACUUGAAGUCAGUUCAGUGAUGAAGUCAUCUCAGAUGUUUUGAGAAUGUUUAAGCUUUACAGGUAACGUUACAGUUAAACUAGCUAACAGCAGGCUCAGUCCAUGUUUGUUUAGUUUACUUGUACACACUACGGGGACUCAAGAAAACGAUUGCUUGCAUGGAUAAAGAGCAUCCCCGUAUAGAUGCCAACAUCAACAAUAGAUCCGACCUGCGACAAAUUCUUCACCUGGACGGUCUAUCUAAGAAAAACAAGGCCCUGAAAGAGUGGAGGAGUCAAGAGUUUCACAUUCUCAGAUACACCGGAUCUGAGAUAUGGGAUUGUACAGAAGGAGAUUAAGACCCUCCAGUGCUGCGAGAACAAAGUGCCUCACGUUGGCCACUGCUUAGAUCCUGUGGCGGGCUGGGGAAGGGAAAAAAGCCACCAUCGCUAUAACAUCAGGAAGAAACCAUUUCACCCAUACAGGACACUGUAGAUCUGAAGGAGUACUAGAAAAGGUACAGUAAUGUUAGGAAUACCUCAAAGUAGACCAGAGUGCAUGCUUUGGCUUACUCAAACCUCAUAAGACAUUGAACUGUGAUACAUAAUAAUCCAAUAAAAAAGGCUAUUCUA
Coregonus clupeaformis (lake whitefish) is the source of this 782-nucleotide long non-coding RNA. RefSeq lists it as uncharacterized. The transcript has 4 exons. The record is from RefSeq and is a predicted model, not a curated record. NCBI's taxonomy places the organism in Eukaryota, Metazoa, Chordata, Actinopteri, Salmoniformes, Salmonidae.